UUUUGCGGAACGGGUUUAGC
This 20-nucleotide non-coding RNA is filed under the name Arabidopsis thaliana (thale cress). Lineage: Eukaryota; Viridiplantae; Streptophyta; Magnoliopsida; Brassicales; Brassicaceae. The record is from RNAcentral.